AUACGGAGGGUGCAAGCGUUAAUCGGAAUUACUGGGCGUAAAGCGUACGUAGGCGGUUCGUUAAGUUAGAUGUGAAAGCCCCGGGCUUAACCUGGGAACUGCAUUUAAAACUGGCGAACUAGAGUUGAGUAGAGGGGAGUGGAAUUUCAGGUGUAGCGGUGAAAUGCGUAGAGAUCAGAAGGAACACCAGUGGCGAAGGCGACUCCCUGGACUCAAACUGACGCUCAGGUACGAAAGCGUGGGUAGCAAACGGGAUUAGAAACCCCAGUAGUCC
RNAcentral lists this ribosomal RNA (274 nucleotides) under uncultured bacterium. Its description in RNAcentral is "partial 16S ribosomal RNA". It matches the Rfam family "Bacterial small subunit ribosomal RNA", at positions 523 to 796 of the family's 1533-position model. The record is from RNAcentral.